RNAcentral lists this long non-coding RNA (768 nucleotides) under Junco hyemalis (dark-eyed junco). Its description in RNAcentral is "lncRNA (ENSJHYG00000004420.1)". Lineage: Eukaryota; Metazoa; Chordata; Aves; Passeriformes; Passerellidae. The record is from RNAcentral.
AAUGGAACAUCAUAAACAGUGGGACAGUUGUCUGCCUUCUUGACGUCAGCAUAUUUGGGUUCAUUAUCGGCUGGACUUUUGUCAGAUUUAAUACUUUGUUAGCUGUGGUUGAGGGGAGUGUGGUUGGCUGAGGACACUGGCACAUACAUCACUCAUUUCUGCCCACAGUGCAGUGCAGAGACAGGCUAUGUGAUUGUUCCUAUGCUCAGUGGAAGUUUGUCUCAAUGGAAAAGUUGUUUCAAAAUAUUGGCAUUUUCUGUAGCAGAAAAUAAGAAAUGAAGUGUUAAAUUUUGGGUCACAGUGUACAAAAACACUAUGGGAAAAACAGCAUGCAUUGUUCCUGCUGAUGAAAACCCAAUAAACAACAAAACAAAGGCCCACUGAAGCCAAAGGAUCUGCUAGAGACAAAUGUGAAGUCCUGUUUAAGAGAAAAGAAGCAAUAAAUCUGCACAGCACUAACAGGUUCACAGAAAUGAUAACUUCAGGAGAGCCUGUGGGAGAGGAUGAAUUCUGCUGCAGCCUUUCUACAUCAAAAAAAGAUCCUUUUCAGCACAAGAUCCUAAUGCUACUACUGAAGUGCAAGUUCUUAUAUCAUCACUGUGGAUGCUUCUUACUUCAGAGAACAAGAGAAAGGAAAUGUUUUGUUCUGCAGAUUUGUUUCUUUAUUUUGAUAUUUAAAUUAAAAUGUUGAAUUUUAUUGUGUGCUUUAUAUCUUCUUUUAAACCCUUCUGAAAUAAAGAGUGUAUUGCUCACUCUGAAUGAGUAAAA